UCAGAUUUGAAAUCUGGCCUCUUUGGGGUCCGAGUUGUAAUCUGUAGAGGAUGCUUUUGGCGAUGCGCCUUCCGAGUCCCCUGGAACGGGGCGCCAGAGAGGGUGAGAGCCCCGUAUGGUUGGACGCCGAACCUCUGUAAAGCUCCUUCGACGAGUCGAGUAGUUUGGGAAUGCUGCUCAAAAUGGGAGGUAAAUUUCUUCUAAAGCUAAAUACCGGCCAGAGACCGAUAGCGCACAAGUAGAGUGAUCGAAAGAUGAAAAGCACUUUGAAAAGAGGGUCAAAUAGCACGUGAAAUUGCUGAAAGGGAAGCGCUUGUGACCAGACUUGCGCCCGGUUGAUCAUCCAGCGUUCUCGCUGGUGCACUCUGCCGGGCUCAGGCCAGCAUCGGCUCUCCCAGGGGGAUAAAGGUCGCGGGAACGUAGCUCUCUCCGGGGAGUGUUAUAGCCCGUGGCGGAAUGCCCUUAGGGGGGGCCGAGGCCCGCGUUCGCAAGGAUGCUGGCGUAAUGGUCACCAGCGACCCGUCUUGAAACACGGACCAAGGAGUCAAGCAUUAGGGCGAGUCUUUGGGUGUAAAACCCGCAGGCGCAAUGAAAGUGAACGGAGGUGAGAGCUUCGGCGCAUCAUCGACCGAUCCUGAUGUUCUCGGAUGGAUUUGAGUAAGAGCCUUACCGCUUGGACCCGAAAGAUGGUGAACUAUGCCUGAAUAGGGUGAAGCCAGAGGAAACUCUGGUGGAGGCUCGCAGCGGUUCUGACGUGCAAAUCGA
This 765-nucleotide ribosomal RNA is filed under the name Distoseptispora tectonae. RNAcentral's name for it is "partial large subunit ribosomal RNA". It matches the Rfam family "Eukaryotic large subunit ribosomal RNA", at positions 109 to 901 of the family's 3401-position model. Lineage: Eukaryota; Fungi; Ascomycota; Sordariomycetes; Distoseptisporaceae. The record is from RNAcentral.